UACGUAGGGGGCGAGCGUUGUCCGGAUUUAUUGGGCGUAAAGAGCUCGUAGGCGGCGCGGUAAGUCGGGUGUGAAAUCUCGGAGCUUAACUCCGAAACUGCAUUCGAUACUGCCGUGCUUGAGGACUGGAGAGGAGACUGGAAUUUACGGUGUAGCGGUGAAAUGCGUAGAUAUCGUAAGGAAGACCAGUGGCGAAGGCGGGUCUCUGGACAGUUCCUGACGCUGAGGCACGAAGGCCAGGGGAGCAAACGGG
Molecule: ribosomal RNA, 253 nt
Filed under: uncultured bacterium
Lineage: Bacteria
Description: partial 16S ribosomal RNA
Rfam family: Bacterial small subunit ribosomal RNA
Source: RNAcentral